RNAcentral lists this transfer RNA (71 nucleotides) under Bos taurus (domestic cattle). It matches the Rfam family "tRNA". Rfam says of the family: Transfer RNA (tRNA) molecules are approximately 80 nucleotides in length. RNAcentral also lists the same sequence under 2 other names. Lineage: Eukaryota; Metazoa; Chordata; Mammalia; Artiodactyla; Bovidae. The record is from Rfam by way of RNAcentral.
UCCCUGGUGACUCAGUGGUAAAGAAUCUGACUGCAAUACAGGAGACCCGGGUUCGAACCCAGGUCAGGAAG